UACAGAGGUGGCAAGCGUUGUUCGGAAUUACUGGGCGUAAAGGGCGCGUAGGCGGCCUUCUAAGUCAGACGUGAAAUCCCCCGGCUUAACCUGGGAACUGCGUCUGAUACUGGGAGGCUAGAGUGCGGGAGAGGGAUGCGGAAUUCCAGGUGUAGCGGUGAAAUGCGUAGAUAUCUGGAGGAACACCGGUGGCGAAGGCGGCAUCCUGGACCGACACUGACGCUGAGGCGCGAAAGCUAGGGGAGCAAACGGG
This 253-nucleotide ribosomal RNA is filed under the name uncultured bacterium. Its description in RNAcentral is "partial 16S ribosomal RNA". It matches the Rfam family "Bacterial small subunit ribosomal RNA", at positions 524 to 776 of the family's 1533-position model. The record is from RNAcentral.